AGCGAACGCUGGCGGCAGGCCUAAUACAUGCAAGUCGAACGAACCUUUCGGGGUUAGUGGCGGACGGGUGAGUAACACGUGGGAACGUGCCUUUAGGUUCGGAAUAAUUCAGGGAAACUUGUGGUAAUACCGCAUGUGCCCUUCGGGGGUAAGAUUUCUUGCCUUUAGAGCGGCCCGCGUCUGAUUAGCUAGUUGGUUGAGGUAAUGGCUCACCAAGGCGACGAUCAGUAGCUGGUCUGAGAGGAUGAUCAGCCACAUUGGGACUGAGACACGGCCCAAACUCCUACGGAAGGCAGCAGUGGGGAAUCUUGCGCAAUGGGCGAAAGCCUGACGCAGCCAUGCCGCGUGAAUGAUGAAGGUCUUAGGAUUGUAAAAUUCUUUCACCGGGGACGAUAAUGACGGUACCCGGAGAAGAAGCCCCGGCUAACUUCGUG
Molecule: ribosomal RNA, 434 nt
Filed under: uncultured bacterium
Lineage: Bacteria
Description: partial 16S ribosomal RNA
Rfam family: Bacterial small subunit ribosomal RNA
Source: RNAcentral